Molecule: long non-coding RNA, 327 nt
Filed under: Trifolium pratense (red clover)
Lineage: Eukaryota; Viridiplantae; Streptophyta; Magnoliopsida; Fabales; Fabaceae
Description: long non-coding RNA (TPRA_LNC003332)
Source: RNAcentral
GUUUUCAGUCCUGAUUUUCAUGAAUCACUUUCUUCUCAACUGCCAAUUAAUUGUCUUGGGCACCGCCCGUUUAGUUUGAAAAUGCUGAGGAGACAUUUGUGACUGUCCUGUCGCUUUGUUUCAUUCAAGGAGUUUUUCAUAGUUGACCUCAACUUAUUCAAGGAGUUUUUCAUAGUUGACCUCAACUUAACAUUCAUUGAAUAAACACAUAUUUUUGAGUGAAUUGAAUAAUCACAUUGACAUUUGAAAUGUAUGCUUGUGGAGUUAUGCCAACUUUUGCAUGCUUAGGUCCCUUUGAAUUUUCUAAUUGCUGUAUUCAAUUAUAGC